AAUUCUCAACCUUGCAAGCUUUUUUGCUAGCGAGGCUUGGAUGUGAGGGCUUUUGCUGGCUUCCUUUAUUGGAUGGUCUGCUCCCUUUAAAUUCAUUAGUGGGAUCCUUUGUGGAUGGUCACUUGGUGUGAUAAUUAUCUACGCCGCCUGACUCUGAAACAAGACUUGUGGGGACCUGCUCAUAACCGUCUCUUCAAGGGACAAUUUAUAUUGACA
RNAcentral lists this unclassified non-coding RNA (216 nucleotides) under uncultured Agaricales. Its description in RNAcentral is "sequence contains ITS2". Lineage: Eukaryota; Fungi; Basidiomycota; Agaricomycetes; Agaricales. The record is from RNAcentral.